GCCAGGUGUGGUGGUGCAUGCCUGUAAUCCUAGCUACUCAGGAGGCUGAGGCAGGGGAAUUGCUUGAACCCGGGAGACAGAGGUUGCAGUGAGCCGAGAUGGCACCACUGAACUCCAGCCUGGGCAACACAGUGAGACUCUGUCUCAA
Molecule: non-coding RNA, 148 nt
Organism: Homo sapiens (human)
Lineage: Eukaryota; Metazoa; Chordata; Mammalia; Primates; Hominidae
Rfam family: Metazoan signal recognition particle RNA
About the family: The signal recognition particle (SRP) is a universally conserved ribonucleoprotein.
Source: Rfam